UGCCAGCCGCCGCGGUAAUACGGAGGGUGCAGGCGUUGUCCGGAUUUAUUGGGUUUAAAGGGUGCGUAGGUGGCUUUUUAAGUCAGUGGUGAAAUUUUGCAGCUUAACUGUAAAAGUGCCAUUGAUACUGGAGAGCUUGAGUAUUGUUGAGGCAGGCGGAAUUUAUGAUGUAGCGGUGAAAUGCAUAGAUAUCAUAAAGAACACCGAUAGCGAAGGCAGCUUGCUAAGCGAUAACUGACACUAAUGCACGAAAGCGUGGGUAGCGAACAGGAUUAGAUA
RNAcentral lists this ribosomal RNA (279 nucleotides) under uncultured bacterium. Its description in RNAcentral is "partial 16S ribosomal RNA". It matches the Rfam family "Bacterial small subunit ribosomal RNA", at positions 506 to 784 of the family's 1533-position model. The record is from RNAcentral.